Molecule: ribosomal RNA, 615 nt
Filed under: Proteus mirabilis
Lineage: Bacteria; Pseudomonadati; Pseudomonadota; Gammaproteobacteria; Enterobacterales; Morganellaceae
Description: partial 23S ribosomal RNA
Rfam family: Bacterial large subunit ribosomal RNA
Source: RNAcentral
GUUGGGUAACACUAACUGGAGGACAGAACCGACUAAUGUUGAAAAAUUAGCGCAUGACUUGUGGAUGGGGGAGAAAGGCCAAUCAAACCGGGAGAUAGCUGGUUCUCCCCGAAAGCUAUUUAGGUAGCGCCUAGUUCCUUCACCCGAAAGCUAUUUAGGUAGCGCCUCGUGAACUCAUCUUCGGGGGUAGAGCACUGUUUCGACUAGGGGGUCAUCCCGACUUACCAACUCGAUGCAAACUGCGAAUACCGAAGAAUGUUAUCACGGAGACACACGGCGGGUGCUAACGUCCGUCGUGAAGAGGGAAACAACCCAGACCGCCAGCUAAGGUCCCAAAGUCAUGGUUAAGUGGGAAACGAAGUGGGUAGGCUCAGUCAGACAGGAUGUUGGCUUAGAAGCAGCCAUCAUUUAAAGAAAGCGUAAUAGCUCACUGGUCGAGUCGGCCCGCGCGGAAGAUGUAACGGGGCUAAACCAUGCACCGAAGCUGCGGCAGCGACACAAUGUGUUGUUGGGUAGGGGAGCGUUCUGUAAGCCUGCGAAGGUGUACUGUGAGGUAUGCUGGAGGUAUCAGAAGUGCGAAUGCUGACAUAAGUAACGAUAAUGCGGGUGAAAAAC